GUUGGAGGCGUUGGAGCUAGGAAAAGAAACAUGCUUAUCAAAACAAUGUUUAUGUUUUCAGAUAAGGGAUAAGGCGUUUCCAAUGUUUCCAUUUGAUUUGCUCAAAUAAAUGUGAAAUUGUAUAUUUAUUCAGAAGCUAGACGAAGUAAAAAUUACAUAACCCGGUACCAAAAUCAACGUGACAUUACAACUCACCUCGAAUAUGGAUCCCAAAUAUCAGAAAUAAACAACACCAGAGCAUCGAAAGCUCCAUUUCACAGCUGACACAUCGAUAAGCGGGUAAAAUUGAUAAUAUUUUCACAAUAAUGAAAGGCUAAAUAGAAAGAAAAACACCAACACUCGGCGCACAAAAUCGCGACACUCGACCGCCGAAAUUAUUUCACCGAAAACGACGUAAUCGUGUCGAACAAAUGAUCGGUAUACGAGGCGAAUAAUAACUCAUCUUUGAAAUGUUUCAUAAU
Molecule: long non-coding RNA, 461 nt
Organism: Planococcus citri (citrus mealybug)
Lineage: Eukaryota; Metazoa; Arthropoda; Insecta; Hemiptera; Pseudococcidae
Exons: 2
Source: RefSeq, a predicted model, not a curated record